GUGCUCACUUCGGCAGCACAUAUACUAAAAUUGGAAUGAUACAGAGAAGAUUAGCAUGGCCCCUCUGCAAGGAUGACAUGCAAAUUCGUGAAGCAUUCCAUAUUUUU
Molecule: small nuclear RNA, 107 nt
Filed under: Moschus moschiferus (Siberian musk deer)
Lineage: Eukaryota; Metazoa; Chordata; Mammalia; Artiodactyla; Moschidae
Source: RNAcentral